Molecule: unclassified non-coding RNA, 27 nt
Filed under: Mus musculus (house mouse)
Lineage: Eukaryota; Metazoa; Chordata; Mammalia; Rodentia; Muridae
Description: oocyte_clustered_small_RNA8479
Source: RNAcentral
AACGACAUCAGUGCUGGUGCAAACAAC